Molecule: small nuclear RNA, 107 nt
Filed under: Rhinopithecus bieti (black snub-nosed monkey)
Lineage: Eukaryota; Metazoa; Chordata; Mammalia; Primates; Cercopithecidae
Source: RNAcentral
GUGCUCACUUUGAUAGCACAUAUACUAAAAUUGGUACAAUACAGAGAAGAUUAGCAUGGCCCCUGCACAAGGAUGUCACACAAAUUCAUGAAGUGUUCCAUAUUUUU